UAUACGGAGCACCCAAAAUUUCGAAUUUUUUUUAAGUCAACUUAUAAAUUUUUUAACGCUGAAAACGAUGGUACUUACGAAGAUUGGCGCAGACGAUUAUUUUGGAAGUUACAGCCUAUUGAAGACAUUAUUUAUAAUUCGAGAAAAUAAUUUAUUGUAAAAAAACUGUUGUCAUAUAGUAUACGGUCUACCUGCCUUUUUUUACAUAGGCUUAAGUUUAUUUUUAAUAGAUACACUUUAAUCUUUUUCUUCGGUCAACACUUUAUGUUUAUUGCCUUAUACACAGAUAACAAUAUUUCGAAAUGUUGUAAAAGUAUGGGCUCAAUAGCUCAGUACGUCAUUAAUUGCGCAACACAAUUUAUAUUUUACACAUUUAGUAUGUUGGAAAAAGAUUUUUAUUCAAUUAUUAGUAGUGACGAAUCAACCACAAAUUUUUUAAUUAGCAAAAAUAUUGUGGCAAAUAAUGAAAAUACCGAAUGUAUUAAGUGUGGAAGUGCUAUGAAUUUAUACCUACGCAAGGAGAUGGGUAAGGAAAGAAGAAUUUUACGUUGUAAGAGAAAGGAAUGUCAAACAACACAAAGCUUAAGGUCGAUAUUGACUUGUUGAUUUGCCGAGUGAAAAUAUCGAAGACGAAAAUGAAGACCCUCUUGAAAAUGGAAAAAGAAAUUAUGGUAGACGAAUGAACGGUCCUUGAGUGUUUGGAUUAUGCGACAAUAGUGAGAAACGAUAUUUUGUUGUCGAAAAGCGGGGCAAGUAAACUUUGCAUGAUAUUAUUAAAAAGGGGUUGUAUUGAGUUUUAUUAAAUACUCUAAUGGGUGGCCAGCGUAUAACGGGAUCAUCCAAUAUGGUUGAACGCAUAAUACAGUUAACCAAAGCGAAAAUUUUGUUGAUCCACUUACACAAGCGCACACUCAACGGAUCGAAAGUUUAUGGAAACCAUCACUUUUAAAAGUAGUUAAAAAUAUGUGUGGUACAAGUCCUGAUCUCCUUCCAAGAUAUCUCAUGGAAACAUGGUGACGUGGCAUAAAUAAAUCAGAUUUAUUUAAUGCAUUUUUGUAUAACAUAUUACAUUUUAUUUAUUUAUACUCAUUGACAACAAUUUUUUU
Molecule: unclassified non-coding RNA, 1106 nt
Filed under: Sipha flava (yellow sugarcane aphid)
Lineage: Eukaryota; Metazoa; Arthropoda; Insecta; Hemiptera; Aphididae
Description: uncharacterized LOC112679839, transcript variant X1
Source: RNAcentral